UAUUGUAUGUAAAUGAUUUCAGGC
This 24-nucleotide non-coding RNA is filed under the name Rattus norvegicus (Norway rat). The record is from RNAcentral. Lineage: Eukaryota; Metazoa; Chordata; Mammalia; Rodentia; Muridae.